GCAGCCGCCGCGGUAAUACGUAGGUGGCAAGCGUUGUCCGGAUUUAUUGGGUUUAAAGGGUGCGUAGGCGGCAUUUUAAGUCAGUGGUGAAAUACGGCAGCUCAACUGUCGAGGUGCCAUUGAUACUGGGAUGCUUGAGUACUGAUGAGGUAGGCGGAAUGGACGGUGUAGCGGUGAAAUGCUUAGAUAUCGUCCAGAACACCGAUAGCGAAGGCAGCUUACUAAGGAGUAACUGACGCUGAGGCACGAAAGUGGGGGAUCAAACAGGAUUAGAUACCCCCGUAGUCCCUGUCUCUUAUACA
This 302-nucleotide ribosomal RNA is filed under the name uncultured bacterium. Its description in RNAcentral is "partial 16S ribosomal RNA". It matches the Rfam family "Bacterial small subunit ribosomal RNA", at positions 508 to 808 of the family's 1533-position model. The record is from RNAcentral.